Long non-coding RNA from Glycine soja, 354 nucleotides. RefSeq lists it as uncharacterized. The transcript is spliced from 3 exons. The record is from RefSeq and is a predicted model, not a curated record. NCBI's taxonomy places the organism in Eukaryota, Viridiplantae, Streptophyta, Magnoliopsida, Fabales, Fabaceae.
AACCAUUUUUUUUUUCCAUUUCCCCCUCUCUAAAUCCCUAAAUCGCUAACAGUUCUCUUUGUCCUCCUUCUCUGGCGUCUCUCUCAACGAACCUUGCAGAAGGUGAACAUCUUUGUUUUGUACACUCUCUGCAGAACCUUUCUACGAGCGACGUUCUCACUUUCUCACUCUGUUUGUGCGAUCAAGGGACAUUGCUCGAUUUUGGUGUGGUCAAGGGCACCAUGCGUGAGAACGAAAUCCUCUGUCACAGUGUUAUCAAAUAGCGGCCAUGGUGGAAAAGCGUGGUGGAAAUUUGAAAAAAUGCCACCGAAUAGAGGUGGCAUGGCGGGUUGGGAUGGUGGUCAUGGCGGAAUA